This 464-nucleotide ribosomal RNA is filed under the name uncultured bacterium. RNAcentral's name for it is "partial 16S ribosomal RNA". It matches the Rfam family "Bacterial small subunit ribosomal RNA", at positions 29 to 507 of the family's 1533-position model. The record is from RNAcentral.
ACGAACGCUGGCGGCGUGCUUAACACAUGCAAGUCGCACGGAAAGGCCCUGCUUGCAGGGUACUCGAGUGGCGAACGGGUGAGUAACACGUGGGUGAUCUGCCCUGCACUUCGGGAUAAGCCUGGGAAACUGGGUCUAAUACCGGAUAGGAGCCAUUUUUAGUGUGAUGGUUGGAAAGUUUUUUCGGUGUAGGAUGAGCUCGCGGCCUAUCAGCUUGUUGGUGGGGUAAUGGCCUACCAAGGCGGCGACGGGUAGCCGGCCUGAGAGGGUGGACGGCCACAUUGGGACUGAGAUACGGCCCAGACUCCUACGGGAGGCAGCAGUGGGGAAUAUUGCACAAUGGGCGCAAGCCUGAUGCAGCGACGCCGCGUGGGGGAUGACGGCCUUCGGGUUGUAAACGCCUUUCGCUAGGGACGAAGCUUUUUGUGACGGUACCUAGAUAAGAAGCACCGGCUAACUACGUG